CUAGUACGAGAGGACCGGGAUGGACGAACCGCUAGUGUUCCAGUUGUCGCGCCAGCGGCACAGCUGGGUAGCUACGUUCGGAAUGGAUAACCGCUGAAAGCAUCUAAGCGGGAAGCCAACCUCAAGAUUAGAUAUCCCUCUACUUCGGUAGACUGAAGACCCCUUGUAGACUACAAGGUUGAUAGGCCAGAUGUGUAAGUGCGGUAACGCAUUUAGCUUACUGGUACUAAUUGGUCGUGCGACUUGGCCAU
RNAcentral lists this ribosomal RNA (251 nucleotides) under Desulfobacteraceae bacterium. RNAcentral describes it as "partial 23S ribosomal RNA". It matches the Rfam family "Bacterial large subunit ribosomal RNA", at positions 2678 to 2925 of the family's 2925-position model. The record is from RNAcentral. Lineage: Bacteria; Pseudomonadati; Thermodesulfobacteriota; Desulfobacteria; Desulfobacterales; Desulfobacteraceae.